Molecule: long non-coding RNA, 154 nt
Organism: Dermacentor silvarum
Lineage: Eukaryota; Metazoa; Arthropoda; Arachnida; Ixodida; Ixodidae
Exons: 3
Source: RefSeq, a predicted model, not a curated record
GUUCAAGGUUGGGUAAAAACCGUGAUGACGUCACGGGAGUCACUAGUGAUCACCACACUUGACAGGGUGAUAGUGAUCAAUUUGUUACCCUUUGAAAACCAUUUUGUUUGAUAUGCAUGUCGGCAGGUUAGGAGAGUUCAAGGUUGGGUAAAAA